GCAGCUGGGUAUCUCAGUUGGUUAGAACAUGGUGCUGAUAACGCCAAGGUUGCAGGUUCGAUCCCCUAUGGGACAGCUGCA
This is a non-coding RNA of Podarcis lilfordi (Lilford's wall lizard), 81 nucleotides long. The record is from the annotation of a GenBank genome assembly. Lineage: Eukaryota; Metazoa; Chordata; Lepidosauria; Squamata; Lacertidae.